CUCGAGGCCAGAUCUUUCCGGUUGAUCCCGCCGGACCUGACUGCUAUCGGAUUGAUACUAAGCCAUGCGAGUCUUUGUAGCAAUACAAGGCAGACGGCUCAGUAACACGUAGUCAAUCUACCCUAUGGACGGGGAUAACCUCGGGAAACUGAGAAUAAUACCCGAUAGAUCAUUAUGCCUGGAAUGGUUUAUGGUCGAAAUGAUUUAUCGCCGUAGGAUGGGACUGCGGUCUAUCAGCUUGUGGUGAGGUAAUGGCCCACCAAGGCUAUAACAGAUACGGGCUCUGAGAGGAGAAGCCCGGAGAUGGGUACUGAGACACGGACCCAGGCCCUAUGGGGCGCAGCAGGCGAGAAAACUUUGCAAUGUGCGAAAGCACGACAAGGUUAAUCCGAGUGUUUUCUGCUAAAGAAAUCUUUUGUCAGUCCUAAAAACACUGAUGAAUAAGGGGUGGGCAAGUUCUGGUGUCAGCCGCCGCGGUAAAACCAGCACCUCAAGUGGUCAGAAGGAUUAUUGGGCCUAAAGCAUCCGUAGCCGGCCGUGUAAGUUUUCGGUUAAA
This 556-nucleotide ribosomal RNA is filed under the name uncultured archaeon. RNAcentral's name for it is "bacterial SSU rRNA". It matches the Rfam family "Archaeal small subunit ribosomal RNA", at positions 1 to 549 of the family's 1478-position model. The record is from RNAcentral.